UGUGGUGCAUAAAUUUAUUUCAACAUAUAUUAACAUUUUGUAUAUUCCUUUUUAAAUUUUGUUAAAGACACAGUACAUACAGUAUUUACAUGAGCUUCUACGAUUUUUCAACAAAAAAACAAAAAACAGGCUAAGACGAAGGCUACUCUCUCUAGAGCUAAAAUAAAACUCGAUAGAUUUUGACACCUCAUCAUUAAACUUGACAAUUCCUGUCAUAACAGUCCAUGAGAAACAACAGUACACAUUAGAACAAUAGAUAGCAGUUUGAUGAUGCUAAUGGCUCUGAUUUAAAACAAAGCAGCAGCUGCUCACAUCUGAAAUUCGCCCCAGUUUACGCACCGUAAUGCCAUGUUGAACUUUGCAAUACACCUUACUCGGUGUUAUGCUGUAUUACGUUAGACUACUACUUUACAUUUCCUAAUGCACACUGAAGGUCAGUCUAAUCCCUGUCUUUUUCUUUUAUGUAGAUCCUACAUAGAGUAAACAACAAGUUCUAAGGCAGAGCUAAUUCACAUUUCACUACCAUCUACUCUAGGAUUACCCUUUGAUUAAUUCUUUGAGGCAGCCAACAUCUCAGUAUACAGUACAUCCUUCUGAGAGGCCUUGAUAUGGUCAACUCUACAGAACCACAAGUAAAGAUGGAAAGAGACAAGGAAACUGAUAGGGACCAUCAUCAGCUUUGAUUAUUUGCUGGAGGAAAAUGUGUCAUUCAGUACAAUAAGUUAAGUCAGUGGUUCCCAACCCUGUUUCAUAUGACGUGAACCUAUAGCCUCUGAAAAACACUUCAAAUCCAUAGCUUUCAAAAUCAGUCCGCUUUUAUAUUUAAAGGUAUUCACCUGAAAUAACUGAAACUGGACAACUUUAGCUUGCUGUACGCUCAGCUAGUCAGUUAGGUAUUUUGGCCAUCCAUUACUACUAUCGUCGUACUUUAAUCCUACAUUUCAGUACAUUCAUUUGCUACUUGUUUACUACUUUUAGCAAAAUGAUUUAAAUGCUAUUAUCUACCAGUUUCACAAAUUAUCCAUUAUGUUUAGGUAACAAUUUUGUUGCUACUUUUAGCUAACAGAUUCAACUGUGAAUUAUACUUUUAUUAUGCUAUUCCAGUUGAUACUCAGUGCUGUUAUCUAACAAUAUAACUGCUAGUAACAAUUUUAGCAUUGACAGUUUAAAAAAAUUGGCACAGCUUCUAAAACCCUGCAUUUUAUCGGAACACCAGCAGGUGGCGCUAGCCGUGGCUGCAAAAAGGCUACCAGUCGUGUAGAAGUCUAUUUACCUGCUGAGUUAAGGGACUCCAUCAUUUACUUUGGUUUAUGCUGAACAAAAAAUUAAGUCUGUUUUGUAAAUCUUCCUCAUACUAUGUUUCAAAAUGAAGAUUAAGUUUGGCGUGAAAUCAAAAACUCAUUAGCUAGCGACACGGCAAUCACAAGUCGCAUCUGUUACUUUGCAACCAAGAUGACAGCAGCUCAACUCGAGGCUUCAAAAAGGACUUCAGCAACCAGGAGGUGAUGUAGCAAUAACCACAUCCAUCAUACACAGUUUUUAGUAAUUUUUUUUAGAAGGUACUUUUUUGUUGUAAUCUUGCUAGCUGCUGUAUUCAUUAGCUAACUGAUAAAUUGUUAUCCAAUAUACUUGGCAACAUAUUUUUGUCUUUUUUUAGUUCUCUUAACUAAUAAUUCAUCCAUUAGCUAUUUAAACAAUCUAUUUUAAUCAUUUACUUUUCUAUUUUUAGCUUAUCUGGCCCAAGAACCACUGAGCUUAUGUAAUCCCCCAGGCCCUCCAUAAUUAACCAAAAUUACUACUCCUCUUAAAGUAUUGGUCAGGUUAUAGUUAAACUUGUACACUGAUGUGUUUUAACCCAAAUUGUGCUCAAGACUAAAUUAACAAUUGUUGUUUGACAGUCACUUAUCCAGUUUAGUAGGAAUUGCGACUCCUCCUAGAGUAGUGGCCAGAUUUUGUCCAGGAUACGAUUAAUCGUGAGCCUCCUUGACUUUUCAGAUUAUUUUAAUUCAUAGUGUGUGAAACACAACCAGCAGAUUAAUUUAGUGCAUGAUUUGUGAUGGGUCAUGGGCCGGAUGAGCUACUAUAUCAAUGAUAAUCUGGUGAUAAUUUAUACAUUCUGUUUGGUUGCCAUUUACUUCUCAGUCCUCUUCAGCUUCUUCACCUAAUAUUUCUAUGUACCCUGUGACUACCGCAGAAGUAGCCAGGGUUCAUGAACUCAAGGUUGGGACUCACUGAGCUAAAUCAUUGUCAUGAGGAGCUGUGGAUGAGCACUUUUUUCUCUUUUCUUUUUUGUUCACUGGAGCUCAAUUAGUCUUCGAGAAGCGGGCAGAAGCUAUUAAACCUGAGGAGCGCUGGUACCGACAGUACAGGGACAGAGGUGAUGAGCUGUCACAAGAGGAGUCGUUACAUGAAACGAGAACACAUUCGCACAAAGCUGAGGUGGACACACACACCUGACUGACAUAAGAGUGAAGCAGUUCAAGCAGAG
This is a long non-coding RNA of Astatotilapia calliptera (eastern happy), 2488 nucleotides long. The record is from Ensembl. NCBI's taxonomy places the organism in Eukaryota, Metazoa, Chordata, Actinopteri, Cichliformes, Cichlidae.